AGCAAACAGGAUUAGAUACCCUGGUAGUCCACGCCGUAAACGAUGUGAACUAGUUGUUGGAGCCUUAAGGUUUCAGUGACGCAGCUAACGCAUUAAGUUCACCGCCUGGGGAGUACGGCCGCAAGGUUAAAACUCAAAGGAAUUGACGGGGACCCGCACAAGCGGUGGAGCAUGUUCUUUAAUUCGAAGCAACGCGAAGAACCUUACCUACACUUGACAUACCUAUCGGGAUUAGCAGAGAUGCUUUUCUUCGGUUCGGCCGGAUAGGAUACAGGUGCUGCAUGGCUGUCGUCAGCUCGUGUCGUGAGAUGUAGGUUAAGUCCUGCAACGAGCGCAACCCUCGCCAUCUGUUGCCAGCAUUAAGUUGGGCACUCUGAUGGUACUGCCGGUGAUAAGCCGGAGGAAGGUGGGGACGACGUCAAGUCAUCAUGGCCCUUACGUGUAGGGCUAGAAACGUGCUACAAUGGCAACUACAAUGGGCAGCGAACUCGCGAGGGUGAGCGAAUCUCAAAAAGUUGUCUCAGUUCGGAUUAUUCUCUGCAACUCGAGAGUAUGAAGUUGGAAUCGCUAGUAAUCGUGGAUCAGCAUGCCACGGUGAAUACGUUCCCGGGUCUUGUACACACCGCCCGUCAAGUCAUGGGAGUUGACUUUACCCGAAGGCGCUGCGCCAACCGCAAGGAGGCAGGCGACCACGGUAGGGUUAGCGACUGGGACUAAGUCGUAACAAGGUAGCCGUAGGGGAACCUGCGGCUG
RNAcentral lists this ribosomal RNA (753 nucleotides) under marine metagenome. RNAcentral's name for it is "bacterial SSU rRNA". It matches the Rfam family "Bacterial small subunit ribosomal RNA", at positions 767 to 1520 of the family's 1533-position model. The record is from RNAcentral.